GAUGAACGCUGGCGGCGUGCCUAAUACAUGCAAGUCGAGCGAAUGGAUUAAGAGCUUGCUCUUAUGAAGUUAGCGGCGGACGGGUGAGUAACACGUGGGUAACCUGCCCAUAAGACUGGGAUAACUCCGGGAAACCGGGGCUAAUACGGGAUAACAUUUUGAACCGCAUGGUUCGAAAUUGAAAGGCGGCUUCGGCUGUCACUAAUGGAUGGACCCGCGUCGCAUUAGCUAGUUGGUGAGGUAACGGCUCACCAAGGCAACGAUGCGUAGCCGACCUGAGAGGGUGAUCUGCCACACUGGGACUGAGACACGGCCCAGACUCCUACGGGAGGCAGCAGUAGGGAAUCUUCCGCAAUGGACGAAAGUCUGACGGAGCAACGCCGCGUGAGUGAUGAAGGCUUUCGGGUCGUAAAACUCUGUUGUUAGGGAAGAACAAGUGCUAGUUGAAUAAGCUGGCACCUUGACGGUACCUAACCAGAAAGCCACGGCUAACUACGUGCCAGCCGCCGCCGUAA
RNAcentral lists this ribosomal RNA (515 nucleotides) under uncultured bacterium. RNAcentral's name for it is "partial 16S ribosomal RNA". It matches the Rfam family "Bacterial small subunit ribosomal RNA", at positions 28 to 523 of the family's 1533-position model. The record is from RNAcentral.